UACGUAGGGUGCGAGCGUUAAUCGGAAUUACUGGGCGUAAAGCGUGCGUAGGCGGUUCGUUAAGUUCGUUGUGAAAGCCCCGGGCUCAACCUGGGAACUGCAAUGGAAACUGGCGGGCUUGAGUGUGGCAGAGGGGGGUGGAAUUCCGCGUGUAGCAGUGAAAUGCGUAGAGAUGCGGAGGAACACCGAUGGCGAAGGCAGCCCCCUGGGCCAACACUGACGCUCAGGCACGAAAGCGUGGGGAGCGAACAGG
RNAcentral lists this ribosomal RNA (253 nucleotides) under uncultured bacterium. Its description in RNAcentral is "partial 16S ribosomal RNA". It matches the Rfam family "Bacterial small subunit ribosomal RNA", at positions 524 to 776 of the family's 1533-position model. The record is from RNAcentral.